UGGAUAACGGGUGCGCUCGCGUACGCUGAGAGAGGCGUGUGGCAAUCACCGAGACGCCGUACACUCUGCCUGCUAUUUCCAUACUCGUUUUACUGGGCUAAAUUAGCUGCAUCAUGACGGCGACGGCGAGUAACAGGGCACAAGCCGUUGCGGCCCUCAAGCUGCAGCGGGAUCGCAGCACCACGUACCAGCAAUGGACGUUGCUCUUCCACCGCGCCAUCACUGGUGACAUCACCGCCACGGAGCUGCAGCGCAACAUCCAAGGUAUUGUCCUGCCAGAGUUUCAGCGCAUCAGCACGCAGCUGCGCACGUUGCAGAAGGCGCUGACGGAGACGGCAGUCGAGACGGAACAGCGGCAGAAUGGCCACCCCUCCCCUCACUCACCUGCUGAAGCACCAGAGGGUCCAGCAGACAACAGGCAGCAGACGAGCUCGGCGCUGGCAAUAUGGAUUGAUCGCUUGCAAGACCUGGAGCGCGAGCACUACACGGUGACGCUGAGCUUGGCGAACCAGCUAGUUGAGCAUUGCACGCCAAACGUGUGUCUCGAGUCGGAGAGCGAGCCGUCGACAGCCACGGAGGCAGGGAAGGCAGAGGAAGGCACGCCGAAGCGCACGGGCGAGCCGGCGGACAUCAAGUCUCUCUUCAAGCCGGACAGCAGCGACGAUGAGCAGUACGAGUUGGUAGAGAGGCGCCCAAAUCACAUCGCUCACAGCCCUCCAGCGCCCUCCAUCGCUGCCGCCUCUGCGCCUGCCCCAGCGCCUGCGACGCCAACGCUACGCGUGCACGACGUGGAGCGCUGCACACUGCUACGGCUUAUCCCCCCGCGUUACCGCACGCAUCUGUACUUUGUAAAGUGCCGCGGCGUCAUGGACAGCCUCGGCGGCCCCCCCGACCACUCGGCGAAUGGCGAUGAUGUCAAUGGCACGGAGGGGAGCACGGCACGCGUGGAGGAGGAGCUGGUCGCGCUACCCUCCAAAGGCGCGCGCAGAGACGAAGCACCCAUCCUUGCACACUAUGCGCCGUCUGCCGUGGCGUGCCGAUGUGCGGGCUGGUCAAGCGCCGUGGCUUCCAUCAUCCACCGCCAGGAGUCGCUUCGCGCCGCCAUCGAAGAUUUAUGCGAAGAGUUGCAGGGUGAGAUCAGCGAUGAUGCGUGAAGCCGAGCAGGGAAGAGAGUAUGGUGGUGAGUUGCGUUGAGCGUAGCAACUGCGGCCCCCUUGCCCUACCCCACCUCCCACCCCCUCCCCCAGCCUCGCUUACCUGCGCGUGCUCCUAGCCACUGCGGUAAAACAGAAGUAGAGCAAGCUCAGCCAGGAGCACGAGAGAGUCAAAGGUAAGAUUCACGUCACCCGUCCCCCACCUACCCCUCUCCUCGAGUCCCCCGCAUCUUGUCCUCCGCGCACGUCAUGUGAAUAUUGCGGGAAUGCGGCGGAGGUCUCAGCCAGUCUGCGAUACGUAGUGAUUUUCUCUCUCUUGAGUCCACCCGUCGACGCACACGUCUCCGCAAUGUUCUCACCUCGCACGCGCACGCACACACACAAUUGCAAG
Molecule: unclassified non-coding RNA, 1545 nt
Filed under: Leishmania donovani
Lineage: Eukaryota; Euglenozoa; Kinetoplastea; Trypanosomatida; Trypanosomatidae
Description: gene:LdHU3.25.2460(CDS-product:hypothetical_prote in_conserved)
Source: RNAcentral